This 252-nucleotide ribosomal RNA is filed under the name uncultured bacterium. Its description in RNAcentral is "partial 16S ribosomal RNA". It matches the Rfam family "Bacterial small subunit ribosomal RNA", at positions 525 to 776 of the family's 1533-position model. The record is from RNAcentral.
ACGGGGGGAUCGAACGUUAAUCGGAAUUACUGGGCGUAAAGCGCGCGUAGGCGGUUUGUUAAGUGAGAUGUGAAAGCCCUGGGCUCAACCUGGGAACUGCAUUUCAAACUGGCAAGCUAGAGUAUGGUAGAGGCCGGUAGAAUUUCCUGUGUAGCGGUGAAAUGCGUAGAUAUAGGAAGGAAUACCGAUGGCGAAGGCAGCCGGCUGGACCAAUACUGACGCUGAGGUGCGAAAGCGUGGGGAGCAAACAGG